GAUGAACGCUGGCGGCGUGCUUAACACAUGCAAGUCGAACGGAAAGGCUCCUGCUUGCAGGGGUACUCGAGUGGCGAACGGGUGAGUAACACGUGGGUGAUCUGCCCUGCACUUCGGGAUAAGCCCGGGAAACUGGGGCUAAUACCGGAUAGGACGACGGGCUGGAUGCCAUUGUGGAAAGUGUUUCGGUGUGGGAUGAGCUCGCGGCCUAUCAGCUUGUUGGUGGGGUAGUGGCCUACCAAGGCGUCGACGGGUAGCCGGCCUGAGAGGGUGGCCGGCCACAUUGGGACUGAGAUACGGCCCAGACUCCUACGGGAGGCAGCAGUGGGGAAUAUUGCACAAUGGGCGCAAGCCUGAUGCAGCGACGCCGCGUGGGGGAUGACGGCCUUCGGGUUGUAAACUCCUUUCGCUAGGGACGAAGCGCGAGUGACGGUACCUGGUGAAGAAGCACCGGCUAACUACGUG
Molecule: ribosomal RNA, 465 nt
Filed under: uncultured bacterium
Lineage: Bacteria
Description: partial 16S ribosomal RNA
Rfam family: Bacterial small subunit ribosomal RNA
Source: RNAcentral